CAUAGGCAUUCAGAAUCUGGUGAAAAAAUCUUCUAGGAGCAGCUAACAAGAAUCCUAAUACAGGAGUGUUUAUGGUUGGGUUGAGACACAUUCAGUAGCUGAGUGAUUGACAGCAAGAGGAGCAAGACAUGAGGUUAAUAAUUAUCAAAUAUAUGGCAAUGCUGGACUUUAGCUGAUCAUCGUGCUUCUGGAAAACAACAAAAAUUGAGAUAUCUGUUCACCACUUUGUGUGUCCAAGGACCACCUACUUUUUACAUGUGACAAGAACUACCCACCUCCACUCUUCAGGAUAGAACAUGCUGAAGAAAAGAGUUGCAAUGAGAAAAUAUAUGGGAACAAAAUACCUAUGCAAUGCAGAAGUCUGCAUAACUGAACCACUCAGAGGAAAAAGUUUCCCUCCCAGGCUGGAGUACAAUGGCGCGACCUCGGCUCACUGCAACUUCCACCUCCCAGUUCAAGCAAUUCUCCCACCUCAGCUUCCUUAGUAGCUGGGAUUACAAGUGCCUGACACCAGGCCAAGCUAUUUUUGUAUUUUUAGUAGAGACGGGGUUUCACCAUUUUGACCAGGCUGGUCUCAAACUCCUGACCUCAGUCCAUCGGUCCACCUCGGCCUCCCAAAGUGCUGGGAUUGCAGGCAUGAGCCACCGCUCCUGGCCUCAAGUUUAAUUCUUAAGUGAGUCAAUCAGUUAUAGUUCUGUUCAAAGCUUUCAGUGCACCUAAAAUUUCAUCCAACAUCUAUUAUCUUUCAUCAUAUGCUAAAACAGCUUGAAGAUGUAUAUGAUUUUAUAAAAAAUAAUCUAUAAAACAAAACAACCAAAUUAAGGGUUUACAUUUUAAAGCACCAAUAUUCACCUAUAGUUGGUGAAUGUACAGUUAGAAUGAAAAAAAAUAGAAUUUUGGUGAAUUCUGAAAUGGUUCCACCCUAUCCAAACAAGUUGUAUUAAUGCAUGUAUACAUUUCUUAAUAGAUAAAGUACUCGAAUUGCUACAAAUACAGAAGCUUACAAGUUUCCAGUGAGAAUAGGCUCUGUCAAAAACUUUGCUGUAUAUUGAUUAAUUUUGUUACUAUAAAACAAAAAGAUAUCUUUCAAUUGAAAAAUAUCAAAUGCAAAGUUUUGAAUUAUAAAAGCAGCUUCAAGCAAAUAAUAAUUUUUACCCAGCAUCAAAAUUUACAUAUUUAAAGGGCAUAAGCAAGCAUUGGGCACAGAUAAAGCAUUCUUUUCCCGGAGGAUCCCAAAACCAACAGACGGAGCAACAAAAACUCAUUUUCCUCCUAUAUUAACAUGUAUUUCAAUUUUGGAUUAAGAAGUUUUGACAAUGUGUGCAGAAACACAAUUCACAAAAGGAAACUAUUAUGGUUUUGGAGACUUUUUCUUUUAUAUACUGUUGAUUGCAUUGAGAAAAAAAUUAUUUAUGGGCUUCUCCCUAUUUUCAAGCCAGCCAGCUAUCCUAAAUUCAUAUGUUUUAUUUUAAAUUAUAACAAAUCAAGACCAUGAUAUUAUCGUCUGCUCCAGACAACAGCCUUUCCCUAGUUUAUACCAUUAACAUUUUAUUAAUGGUAUUUAUAUUUGGUAUUAGUAGGAGGUCAUUAUAAUUUUACAGGAAUGUCUAAUUGAGAUAAUUAAUUCACUCUUUUAUGUUAAUACUUUUCUACCUAGCAUCACAUAAGAUAAUGGAGGUGUGAUUUUUUUCAGUAAUUUUUGCUAGUUUAAUAAAUGACUUAAUCCUCCUCAUCCAUAUUCAUUUUGAAAUUAUACUUAGUAUUUUAAUAUAAAAGAAUAAGAUAGCAUAAUACUGAAUCUUCUAUGCAUUACAUUUCAUGAUUCUUUAAUAUUGUUUUGAUCAGAGAAUAAAGAAAAAUAUCUUCGACUAGUUUUGAUAUCCUGAAA
Molecule: long non-coding RNA, 1888 nt
Organism: Homo sapiens (human)
Lineage: Eukaryota; Metazoa; Chordata; Mammalia; Primates; Hominidae
Product: long intergenic non-protein coding RNA 1676
Source: Ensembl